CAGUAGGGAAUAUUGGUAAUCUGCGAAAGCGGGAACCAGCAACGCCGCGUGUGCGAAGAAGGCCUUCGGGUUGUAAAGCACUUUUCGGGAGGAAGAGGAAGGACUGUACUCCCGGAAUAAGUCUCGGCUAACUACGUGCCAGCAGCCGCGGUAAUACGUAGGAGGCUAACGUUAUCCGGAUUUACUGGGCGUAAAGCGCGUGCAGGCGGUUCGUUAAGUUGGACGUGAAAACUCCCGGCUCAUCUGGGAGAGGUCGUUCAAUACUGUCGGACUUGAGGAUGGUAGAGAGGGGUGGAAUUCCGGGUGUAGUGGUGAAAUGCGCAGAUAUCCGGAGGAACACCAGUGGCGAAGGCGGCCUCCUGGACCACUCCUGACGCUCAGACGCGAAAGCUAGGGUAGCAAACGGGAUUAGAGACCCCGGUAGUCCUAGCUGUAAACGAUGUGAACUUGGCGUCGGUGGGAUUAAAUCCAUCGGUGUCGAAGCUAACGCGAU
RNAcentral lists this ribosomal RNA (493 nucleotides) under Chloroflexi bacterium enrichment culture clone DGGE-20E. RNAcentral's name for it is "bacterial SSU rRNA". It matches the Rfam family "Bacterial small subunit ribosomal RNA", at positions 352 to 861 of the family's 1533-position model. The record is from RNAcentral. Lineage: Bacteria; Bacillati; Chloroflexota.